UACGGAGGUGGCAAGCGUUGCUCGGAAUCACUGGGCGUAAAGGGCGCGUAGGCGGCCGAUCAAGUCGGGGGUGAAAGCCUGUGGCUCAACCACAGAAUGGCCUUCGAUACUGUUUGGCUUGAGACCGGAAGAGGUCAGUGGAACUGCGAGUGUAGAGGUGAAAUUCGUAGAUAUUCGCAAGAACACCAGUGGCGAAGGCGGCUGACUGGUCCGGUUCUGACGCUGAGGCGCGAAAGCGUGGGGAGCAAACAGG
RNAcentral lists this ribosomal RNA (253 nucleotides) under uncultured bacterium. RNAcentral's name for it is "partial 16S ribosomal RNA". It matches the Rfam family "Bacterial small subunit ribosomal RNA", at positions 524 to 776 of the family's 1533-position model. The record is from RNAcentral.